CGGAGAAUAGUUUAAGUAGUAAAAUAUUAAUUUUGGAUAUUAAAGAUAUUUGUUUUCUCUGA
This 62-nucleotide transfer RNA is filed under the name Pontastacus leptodactylus (narrow-clawed crayfish). RNAcentral describes it as "Astacus leptodactylus (narrow-clawed crayfish) tRNA-Pro". The record is from RNAcentral. Lineage: Eukaryota; Metazoa; Arthropoda; Malacostraca; Decapoda; Astacidae.